GACGAACGCUGGCGGCGUGCCUAAUACAUGCAAGUUGAGCGAUGAAGCUUGGUGCUUGCACCAAUUUGAAGAGCAGCGAACGGGUGAGUAACGCGUGGGGAAUCUGCCUUUGAGCGGGGGACAACAUUUGGAAACGAAUGCUAAUACCGCAUAACAACUUUAAACAUAAGUUUUAAGUUUGAAAGAUGCAAUUGCAUCACUCAAAGAUGAUCCCGCGUUGUAUUAGCUAGUUGGUGAGGUAAAGGCUCACCAAGGCGAUGAUACAUAGCCGACCUGAGAGGGUGGUCGGCCAAAAUGGGAAUGAGACACGGCCCAAAAUCCUAAGGGAGGCAGCAGGAGGGAAUCUUCGGAAAGGGACGAAAGUCUGACCGAGGAACGCCGCGGGAGUGGAGAAGGGUUUCGGAGCGGAAAACUCGGUUGGUAGAGAAGAACGUUGGUGAGAGUAGAAAGCUCAUCAAGUGACGGUAACUACACAGAAAGGGACGGCUAACUACGUG
RNAcentral lists this ribosomal RNA (497 nucleotides) under uncultured bacterium. RNAcentral's name for it is "partial 16S ribosomal RNA". It matches the Rfam family "Bacterial small subunit ribosomal RNA", at positions 28 to 507 of the family's 1533-position model. The record is from RNAcentral.